This 1452-nucleotide ribosomal RNA is filed under the name uncultured organism. Its description in RNAcentral is "SSU rRNA". It matches the Rfam family "Bacterial small subunit ribosomal RNA". The record is from RNAcentral.
GAACGCUAGCUACAGGCUUAACACAUGCAAGUCGAGGGGCAUCAGGAAGAAAGCUUGCUUUCUUUGCUGGCGACCGGCGCACGGGUGAGUAACACGUAUCCAACCUGCCCUUUACUCGGGGAUAGCCUUUCGAAAGAAAGAUUAAUACCCGAUGGCAUAAUGAUUCCGCAUGGUUUCAUUAUUAAAGGAUUCCGGUAAAGGAUGGGGAUGCGUUCCAUUAGGUUGUUGGUGAGGUAACGGCUCACCAAGCCUUCGAUGGAUAGGGGUUCUGAGAGGAAGGUCCCCCACAUUGGAACUGAGACACGGUCCAAACUCCUACGGGAGGCAGCAGUGAGGAAUAUUGGUCAAUGGGCGCUAGCCUGAACCAGCCAAGUAGCGUGAAGGAUGAAGGCUCUAUGGGUCGUAAACUUCUUUUAUAUAAGAAUAAAGUGCAGUAUGUAUACUGUUUUGUAUGUAUUAUAUGAAUAAGGAUCGGCUAACUCCGUGCCAGCAGCCGCGGUAAUACGGAGGAUCCGAGCGUUAUCCGGAUUUAUUGGGUUUAAAGGGAGCGUAGGUGGACUGGUAAGUCAGUUGUGAAAGUUUGCGGCUCAACCGUAAAAUUGCAGUUGAUACUGUCAGUCUUGAGUACAGUAGAGGUGGGCGGAAUUCGUGGUGUAGCGGUGAAAUGCUUAGAUAUCACGAAGAACUCCGAUUGCGAAGGCAGCUCACUGGACUGCAACUGACACUGAUGCUCGAAAGUGUGGGUAUCAAACAGGAUUAGAUACCCUGGUAGUCCACACAGUAAACGAUGAAUACUCGCUAUUUGCGAUAUACAGUAAGCGGCCAAGCGAAAGCAUUAAGUAUUCCACCUGGGGAGUACGCCGGCAACGGUGAAACUCAAAGGAAUUGACGGGGGCCCGCACAAGCGGAGGAACAUGUGGUUUAAUUCGAUGAUACGCGAGGAACCUUACCCGGGCUUAAAUUGCAGUGGAAUGAUGUGGAAACAUGUCAGUGAGCAAUCACCGCUGUGAAGGUGCUGCAUGGUUGUCGUCAGCUCGUGCCGUGAGGUGUCGGCUUAAGUGCCAUAACGAGCGCAACCCUUAUCUUUAGUUACUAACAGGUUAUGCUGAGGACUCUAGAGAGACUGCCGUCGUAAGAUGUGAGGAAGGUGGGGAUGACGUCAAAUCAGCACGGCCCUUACGUCCGGGGCUACACACGUGUUACAAUGGGGGGUACAGAAGGCAGCUAGCGGGUGACCGUAUGCUAACCCCAAAAGCCUCUCUCAGUUCGGAUCGAAGUCUGCAACCCGACUUCGUGAAGCUGGAUUCGCUAGUAAUCGCGCAUCAGCCACGGCGCGGUGAAUACGUUCCCGGGCCUUGUACACACCGCCCGUCAAGCCAUGGGAGCCGGGGGUACCUGAAGUACGUAACCGCAAGGAUCGUCCUAGGGUAAAACUGGUGACUGGGGCUAAGU